CAACGAAUCGGAAAUAAAGUCUAACAUAGGAGGCAGCGUCUACUAACAAGUCAGUGUUAUUGCUGAUAGUUAAGUACAAUAAUUAUGACGAAAAGAAGGAAUUUGAAAAAAUGUCUGUUGGAUGUGACUGUCCUAUGGAUAACACUUGCGGUACGGUGUUCUGGUGACUUCGUGUCACAGAUUCCACAUGUUCAAACUGCUGAAGAAGGACAGAAUGUUACGCUGAACUGCACAUACAACACCUCAAGCAGUAGCACUCUUUAUCUGCAGUGGUACCAGCACUAUCCCAACGCAGCCCCACGCUACCUUCUUCAGAGAUAUUCGACAGGUGGUGGAGAUGAACUCGGCGUUAAAGACGGUCGAUUUUCUGCUGAAAUUAAACAUUCUAAGCGGUUUAUACAGUUAACGCUGCGAGAAGUAAAACUGUCUGACUCUGCCGUGUACUACUGUGGUCUGAGCACCACAGUGCUUCAGGGCUGAUGCUUGGCGUGAGCAAGAACAGCAGAACUAACGCUGUACGUUUUGCAUUAACGAUUGCAAUUUAACAAGAUGCAUAGUUGCUUUUAAGGAAAAAAUAGACAGUGCCUUGCAAAAUUAUUCAGACCUUAACCAGUUCUGUAAUUUUAAUUAAUAUCAAAUCCUAUAAUUGUUUUUUUUUGGUGGUAUUUGUAUUUAAAAGCACUGAAGCUCAAAAUUACAACUGUGAUACAGUUUGAUUUUAUAUAUAAUUUGGAAGCUGUACACAGGUAAAAAAUGUAUUUCCUAACGAGUUGCAUUACAAUGCCUCCCCCAGUUAAUGAUU
Erpetoichthys calabaricus (reedfish) is the source of this 802-nucleotide non-coding RNA. Lineage: Eukaryota; Metazoa; Chordata; Cladistia; Polypteriformes; Polypteridae. The record is from the annotation of a RefSeq genome assembly.